GAGUCAAAUAAAGAAAGCAAGAGCAUCAUUAUGACCGGUAAGCAAACACGAAAAUAAUAAAAAUAAAAGAAGAAGAGAAAAAGAUAAAAAAAAAUGGUAAAAAAAAGAAAGAAAGCGGGGGGGAAACCGAUGAAGGCGAGGAGGAAGAAUUUACAAAGAACAACGACAGCACCAACGCCAACCCCAACACCACCACCUCCACCACCAUCCCCAAAAGAUGGAAUCAUCCGUUUCCUUCCCCUCCUCGUUAACCGAAACUACUACCACCACCGCCCCCCACCCACUUUCCCUCCCCUCAUUUCCUCCCACCACCACCGCCGCCGCCGCCGCCGCCGCCACCUUCGCCUCCCUCCGCCGCUCCUCUGGAAGCGUCCCCGCCGCACCCGAUCGCCCGAU
Molecule: long non-coding RNA, 396 nt
Filed under: Eucalyptus grandis
Lineage: Eukaryota; Viridiplantae; Streptophyta; Magnoliopsida; Myrtales; Myrtaceae
Description: long non-coding RNA (EGRA_LNC006558)
Source: RNAcentral